This 28-nucleotide non-coding RNA is filed under the name Homo sapiens (human). Lineage: Eukaryota; Metazoa; Chordata; Mammalia; Primates; Hominidae. The record is from RNAcentral.
UGACAUAAACAGCGCAGAGAAUGGGACC